UAAGAUUAAAAUUAUCGGUUUUUUACCGACCAAAAUAACGGAGAUAUGAAUGGCUCGUAUUGCAGGAAUUAAUAUACCUGAU
The sequence is a regulatory RNA element, 82 nucleotides long. It matches the Rfam family "Alpha operon ribosome binding site". Rfam says of the family: The bacterial alpha operon ribosome binding site is surrounded by this complex pseudoknotted structure. The record is from Rfam.